This 94-nucleotide non-coding RNA is filed under the name Modestobacter caceresii. RNAcentral's name for it is "TPP riboswitch aptamer (THI element)". It matches the Rfam family "TPP riboswitch aptamer (THI element)". From Rfam's summary of the family: Vitamin B(1) in its active form thiamin pyrophosphate (TPP) is an essential coenzyme that is synthesised by coupling of pyrimidine and thiazole moieties in bacteria. RNAcentral also lists the same sequence under 1 other name. The record is from Rfam by way of RNAcentral. Lineage: Bacteria; Bacillati; Actinomycetota; Actinomycetes; Geodermatophilales; Geodermatophilaceae.
GGAGCUGACACGGGGUGUCCCACCGGGGACUGAGAGCACACCCGUCGAACCUGCUCCAGUUGGUACUGGCGAAGGGAUGUCACGGCGAUGGACG